ACUAAUUAAAGAUAUUUGUUAUGAUGAGCUUGAUUAGCUAAGUUAUUAAUUAUUAGUAUGAACAGUUCAGCCUUUUCUUCUAAAUUGCCCAAUGCUAAAGAAAACUAGGUACUAAUUGAAGAUAUUUGUUGUGAGCUUGAUUGGAUCUUGAUGUGGCCUAUUUUUCAGUUGGCUAAAUAAAGAAAAUAAUUAGAAGUCACUUAAAUUUAAUUCCCUAGUAUCAACAUUUCAGCAUUUUCUUCUAAAUUGCCCAAGUUGGAAAUCCUUAAUUAGAUACAACGAAGAAUAAGUUGAACAUUUCAGAAGAUAAUUAGAAGACAUCUUCAUUUACUUCUUAAGUAUGAAUAUAACAUUGUUACCAAGGGAUAAUGGAGAAAUGGAUGGAGAUAAGAAAUGCAGGGGCAGACCAAAAGGGAUCAGAGGGAAGCAGUGAGUGUGAGACAGGACUUAGCAACCUUAGAUCUUUCUUAAGAUGAAGCCUGCAGGAAACAAAUUCAUACAGCUAACUUGUCUGAGACUGAGUCUUAGUUGAGUUGAGUUACUAAAACAAUCAGAUUCUUAGUUUAGAUCAAGAGGGAUCAGAGGGAAGCAGUGAGAUGGGACUUAGCAAG
Molecule: unclassified non-coding RNA, 611 nt
Filed under: Hevea brasiliensis (rubber tree)
Lineage: Eukaryota; Viridiplantae; Streptophyta; Magnoliopsida; Malpighiales; Euphorbiaceae
Source: RNAcentral